This 206-nucleotide ribosomal RNA is filed under the name uncultured bacterium. RNAcentral's name for it is "partial 16S ribosomal RNA". It matches the Rfam family "Bacterial small subunit ribosomal RNA", at positions 568 to 774 of the family's 1533-position model. The record is from RNAcentral.
UUCGUAGGUGGUGCGGCAAGUUGGAAGUGAAAUCUCUGGGCUUAACCCAGAGGCCGCUUUCAAAACUGCCGCGCUCGAGUGCGAGAGAGGUCAGUGGAAUUGCAGGUGUAGCGGUGAAAUGCGUAGAUAUCUGCAGGAACACCCGUGGCGAAGGCGGCUGACUGGAUCGCAACUGACACUGAGGAACGAAAGCUAGGGAGCAAACA